This 447-nucleotide ribosomal RNA is filed under the name uncultured organism. RNAcentral describes it as "partial 16S ribosomal RNA". It matches the Rfam family "Bacterial small subunit ribosomal RNA", at positions 333 to 797 of the family's 1533-position model. The record is from RNAcentral.
ACACUCCUGCGGGAGGCAGCAGUGGGGAAUCUUGCGCAAUGGGCGAAAGCCUGACGCAGCCAUGCCGCGUGAAUGAUGAAGGUCUUAGGAUUGUAAAAUUCUUUCACCGGGGACGAUAAUGACGGUACCCGGAGAAGAAGCCCCGGCUAACUUCGUGCCAGCAGCCGCGGUAAUACGAAGGGGGCUAGCGUUGCUCGGAAUUACUGGGCGUAAAGGGAGCGUAGGCGGACAUUUAAGUCAGGGGUGAAAUCCCGGGGCUCAACCUCGGAAUUGCCUUUGAUACUGGGUGUCUUGAGUAUGAGAGAGGUGUGUGGAACUCCGAGUGUAGAGGUGAAAUUCGUAGAUAUUCGGAAGAACACCAGUGGCGAAGGCGACCCACUGGCUCAUUACUGACGCUGAGGCUCGAAAGCGUGGGGAGCAAACAGGAUUAGAAACCCGUGUAGUCCC